This 426-nucleotide ribosomal RNA is filed under the name uncultured bacterium. Its description in RNAcentral is "bacterial SSU rRNA". It matches the Rfam family "Bacterial small subunit ribosomal RNA", at positions 355 to 793 of the family's 1533-position model. The record is from RNAcentral.
UAGGGAAUAUUGCACAAUGGGCGCAAGCCUGAUGCAGCAACGCCGCGUGAGGGACGACGGCCUUCGGGUUGUAAACCUCUUUUAGUAGGGAAGAAGCGAAAGUGACGGUACCUGCAGAAAAAGCACCGGCUAACUACGUGCCAGCAGCCGCGGUAAUACGUAGGGUGCAAGCGUUGUCCGGAAUUAUUGGGCGUAAAGAGCUCGUAGGCGGUUUGUCGCGUCUGCUGUGAAAACCCGAGGCUCAACCUCGGGCCUGCAGUGGGUACGGGCAGACUAGAGUGCGGUAGGGGAGAUUGGAAUUCCUGGUGUAGCGGUGGAAUGCGCAGAUAUCAGGAGGAACACCAAUGGCGAAGGCAGAUCUCUGGGCCGUAACUGACGCUGAGGAGCGAAAGCAUGGGGAGCGAACAGGAUUAGAAACCCGGGUAG